GUGUUCGCUUCAGCAGCACAUAUACUAAAAAAAUUGGAACAAUACAGAGAAGAUUAGCCUGGUCCCUGCACAAAGAUGACUAGCAAAUUCAUGAAGCGUUCCAUAUUUUG
Balaenoptera acutorostrata (minke whale) is the source of this 110-nucleotide small nuclear RNA. The record is from RefSeq and is a predicted model, not a curated record. Lineage: Eukaryota; Metazoa; Chordata; Mammalia; Artiodactyla; Balaenopteridae.